GGAUGCCUCAGUACGGCGAGUGAAGCGGCAAUAGCUCAAAUUUGAAAGCUGGCGUCUUCGGCGAAUGCGUUGUAAUUUGUAGAGGAUGCUUCGGCAAGGGCUCCCGCCUAAGUCCCCUGGAACGGGGCGUCACAGAGGGUGAGAAUCCCGUACGUGGCGGGCGGCCCGAGCCAUGUGAAGCUCCUUCGACGAGUCGAGUUGUUUGGGAAUGCAGCUCUAAAUGGGAGGUAAAUUUCUUCUAAAGCUAAAUACUGGCCAGAGACCGAUAGCGCACAAGUAGAGUGAUCGAAAGAUGAAAAGCACUUUGGAAAGAGAGUUAAAAAGUACGUGAAAUUGUUGAAAGGGAAGCGCUUGCAACCAGACUCGCCCGCAGUUGCUCAGCCGGCCUCUUGGCCGGCGUACUCUUCUGCGGUCGGGCCAGCAUCAGUUUGGGCGGCCGGAUAAAGGUGUCGGGAAUGUAGCACCCUUCGGGGUGUGUUAUAGCCCGGCGCGGAAUGCGGCCAGCCCGGACUGAGGAUCUCGCUUCGGCAAGGAUGCUGGCGUAAUGGUUGUAAGCGGCCCGUCUUGAAACACGGACCAAGGAGUCUAACAUCUAUGCGAGUGUUUGGGUGUCAAACCCAUGCGCGUAAUGAAAGUGAACGGAGGUGGGAACCCCUCACGGGGUGCACCAUCGACCGAUCCUGAUGUCUUCGGAUGGAUUUGAGUAAGAGCAUAGCUGUUGGGACCCGAAAGAUGGUGAACUAUGCCUGAAUAGGGUGAAGCCAGAGGAAACUCUGGUGGAGGCUCGCAGCGGUUCUGACGUGCAAAUCGAUCGUCAAAUUUGGGUAUAGGGGCGAAAGACUAAUCGAACCAUUUGCAGAAGAAGAGUAGUCUGGGCGAAAUCCUACAACGUCAAACUACUCUUUUUCAGCUGCUAGGUGGUUAAGAGGCCGUGUCAAAGCACGAGCCUAGUCCCAACCUUCCGGGGCGACAUCUUCAAAUUGCGGGGACACCCUUAGAGCCUUCAACACCGCCUGCCUAGCGCGAGCUAGGGUCUGGCACCAGGGUAAUGACCUCGGGUAUGGUAACAGCUUGAAGGAUUGGGCAAUCCGCAGCCAAUCCUGUCUGCGUCCCACGUGGCGCGCAGAGAGGCAGGUUCAGAGACUAAAUGGAGAUGGGUAUGCGCGGAGGCGCAUGCUUAAGAUAUAGUCCGUUCCCCACGCGAAAGGUGGGCAGUGUAGACAAAGCCGGCAGGAGGUUGGUUCAUAGCCUGCCGGCCCGAAUCUCACUGGCGAGGGAUCAGUAGGAA
Molecule: ribosomal RNA, 1288 nt
Filed under: Phyllosticta mimusopisicola
Lineage: Eukaryota; Fungi; Ascomycota; Dothideomycetes; Botryosphaeriales; Phyllostictaceae
Description: LSU rRNA
Rfam family: Eukaryotic large subunit ribosomal RNA
Source: RNAcentral